UAACGCGUGGGUAACCGUGCCCUGUACAGGGGGAGUAACAGCUGGAAACGGCUGCUAAUACCGCAUAAGCGCACGAGGAGACAUCUCCUGUGUGAAAAACUACCGGUGGUACAGGAUGGGCCCGCGUCUGAUUAGCUGGUUGGCAGGGUAACGGCCUACCAAGGCAACGAUCAGUAGCCGGUCUGAGAGGAUGAACGGCCACAUUGGAACUGAGACACGGUCCAAACUCCUACGGGAGGCAGCAUG
RNAcentral lists this ribosomal RNA (246 nucleotides) under uncultured bacterium. RNAcentral describes it as "partial 16S ribosomal RNA". It matches the Rfam family "Bacterial small subunit ribosomal RNA", at positions 111 to 353 of the family's 1533-position model. The record is from RNAcentral.